UUCUUUUCCACAGAUCUGAGUUAUGUCAUCAGUCAGUCAAGAACUUUUGCCUUUUCAACUAAAUGAGGCCUUGCCCAACUUACCCUGAGCAUGUCUGAGCUAUCACUACCCCUGUGCUCUGGCGCCAUGAUUACUAAGCUCCCUGUGGGGAAGAAUCCAAGGCCACCUCCAGCUCGGACAGUUGGGGAAGGGACAUGGAAAAAUGUUUCCGGAAUUAUCUACAGAUCCAGAGAAGAGGCUGCUACACGAAGAGGUAAAGACGUUACGAAGCUGGGCAACUGGAGCAUGGGGCUUCACAUCUCAGUUUGCGUGAGUUAGUCCAGAAAACAAGAGCCUGGGUGGGUGGUGCAUGUCUGUAAUCCAGCAUCUGGGAGGAUGAGGCAAGAGGGUUGUUCAAGCCCCAGGCCAGUCUGGGCUAUGCAGUCACAAAACUUGGCCUCCUGGCUCCAACACAAAGGAAAAAGACCCAUCAAGUCAAACAAGCAACCAUCGAGGAUAACACAAAGCAACAAUGAAAACAAACAAAGAACACACUUGCCUCUGAGACCUGAUUGGCUGCUGCACUGGUAGAAGUAUCUUCAGUAGGCGUGGGUUCACCACAGUAACAAGAGAGUUUGUUGGCAUCUUCAUGCUUCUACAAGAAAGUGAGUGGUUCCUAGGACAGCCCUAAGCAGAACCGAGUUAGACUGCCCUGCAAUGGCGCCAUGGCCUGGAACCAGUACCCGAGUCAUCAGGGAAGAUGAGACACUCCAGAGGGGGAAUUUGACGGAAAUAUUUUGUUCCUCUGAUGGCCUCUCAGGGGCACACACUAUAGUUUAUUUGAUCUGUAGGUCCCAAGAUAAUGUGCCCCAUUCCAAUUGGAAGAUC
Peromyscus leucopus (white-footed mouse) is the source of this 867-nucleotide long non-coding RNA. RefSeq lists it as uncharacterized. The transcript is spliced from 3 exons. NCBI's taxonomy places the organism in Eukaryota, Metazoa, Chordata, Mammalia, Rodentia, Cricetidae. The record is from RefSeq and is a predicted model, not a curated record.